CUCAGCCUCGCUUCUCGCAUCUUCUCAUCGAACAGGGCCACCCCCACCUUCUCUCGAAUAACUUCAUUCUUAAUCUUAUCUAACCUGGUGAGGCCGCACAUCCACCUGAGUAUCCUCAUCUCCGCAACCUUCAUUCUCUGAACAUGAGAGUUCUUUACCGGCCAGCACUCUGGCCCAUACAACAUUGCAGGUCUAACCACAGCUCUAUAAAAUUUCUCCUUGACUUUCUGUGGAACUUUCUUGUCACACAGGACUCCUGAUGCAAGCCUCCACUUUGACCACCCCGCUCCUAUACGAUGAGUGACGUCCCCG
RNAcentral lists this long non-coding RNA (312 nucleotides) under Nicotiana benthamiana. Its description in RNAcentral is "long non-coding RNA (NBEN_LNC030985)". Lineage: Eukaryota; Viridiplantae; Streptophyta; Magnoliopsida; Solanales; Solanaceae. The record is from RNAcentral.